AGUUGUUGUGGUAAAUCUCCAACCCAAAUAAGCUCCAUGUAAGGAAAACAACUCAAUAUGAAUACAAGCUACAUGCCUAGAUUGGGCAGAUCUACCACUACACUACUAUAUUCCCCAUCUGUGAUAUCCCUUGCAGUUUGCAGUUUCUCUAGGGCAUGUGCUUCUGCUUCAUUUUCCUUCCACCUCUUCCUCUUCUCUCUUCAUCUCUCUCCUUCCUCUUCUCAUCUCGCCCUCCUCUUCUCUCUCCCUCUAAAACUUUCAGCUCCUCCUCCCCUUCCACUGCCCAAUCACUGUCUCUAGCCUUUAUUUUACAAGUUAAAAUGGGGAGGUUUACAUGAAGUCACCUGAGUACUUGAUUCACCCCUUUUUCAAGGCAGCUCCUUUUGGGGAAGUGAAAUUAGCAUCAAAAUACAAACUGCACCUGGGCAAUCAACACAAUGGAUCAAAUUGCUCUUAGAGUGCUCCAGAGGGCAGAGCUGGAGAAGUGACACCACCCCUUUGGAGGAGCCCAGAAGAUCAUGUGUGGAUCCCAGACAUUGAAACAAGAAGUUGUAACAUUGAAGUGGCCUUGGAGACCCCAAGAUGUCCUAGAUGCCAGAGCCGUGGGCUAUCUGCUGAGGAAAGCUGCUAACAGAGAAUGGAACCCACCCAUGAGAAAGAAGUUAUUGCAGUCAACAAAGAUGAAAGAGGAGUUGGAGAUCUGAAGACCACGUAGACAUCAGACAGGGAGAUGUAGAGUUUGGAGGUUGCCCAGCUGGUUUCCUGUCUUGCUUUGGGGAUUAAGUGAUUGGAUGAAUCUCAGGAGAGACUUUGAAAUUCGACUUUUAACAUUGUUGAGACUGCUAUAGACUAUGGGGACCUUUCUAUUUGGAAUAAAUGUAUUUUGUAUUAUACUAUUUAGGUAUGGCCACCUUAGGCUCACAUGUUUGAACAAGCCUAUGAGGGCUAGGGAGUGGAAUGUAAUGGUUUGUUUAUGCUCAGUCCAUGGCGUGGCACUAUUAGAGCAUGUACCCCUGUUAGAGUACGUGUGUCACUGUGGGUGAGGGCCUUAAGACCCCCAACCUAGCUGUAUGGAAGUCAUAAUUCUGCUAGCAGUCUUCAGAUGAAGAUGUAGAACUCUCAGCUGCUCCUGCACAAUGCCUGCCUGGAUGCUGCCAGGUUCCUGACUUAAUAAUGGACUUAACCUCUCAACCUGUAAGCCAGCCCCAAUUAAAUGUUGUUUUUACAAGAGUUGGCUAGGUCAUGGUGUUGGUUCACAGCAGUAAAACCCUAACUAAGGCACCUGCCCAUCUACUUUCUGCCCUGUAACAACCUCAGGUGAUAAGUAAAUAUACUCUGACCCUUGCAGGAAUCCCUCUGCAGCCUUUCCUCCCAAGUAAUGGUGUUAUCCUGUCUGAAGCUGCUCAAGGCUUUCUGCCUUCCUUCUGUCAUUUUAACCAGAGCUGCUGGCACUUACAUUUCUGAGCUCUACAAAGGAGACAGUUAAAUUGCUAAUGAACUAUGCCUUAAGUUUUAAGUAUGACAGUGUCAGGAUCCCUUUGAUCCAUGUUUUCUCUCCACUAGCACUUCUUUCUCCACCUUAAGCCUGCACAAUGUACCUAUGAUGAGCCAGCCUGCCUCCACUUGGGUUUAAAGGCCAUCUUUUUUUUUUUCUUUUUCUUUUUCUUUUUUGUUUUUUUUUUGUUUGUUUGUUUGUUUGCAAUUUCAGUGUCUUCAUUAAAAAAAACAUACAACACAAAACAACAAAAACAAAACAAACUAGGUAUAAAAGCCUUUGUUCCAAAUAGUAUACAAAUGGUUUUUUUCUUGUUUGUAUUUUAAAGAUUUAAGAAAUUUCUUAUAUCAUAAAUAAAGGAUUUCUUCCUCAAUUGACUUUUUGUAGUGCAGCAUUAAAAAACCCAAGUGUAAAAGUGUAGAAAUUUGUCAUUUAGAAAAGAAAAAUUUUUUAUCAAUGUAGUGUUUCGUAUGUAACAGCAAACAACCAUUACAGAUUAUACUUUCUACAAUGGGGUAAAACCUGAAACAUUGUAGUUCAUAAGCCUCCGACCAUAUGCAAAAACAGCUAUUUCUCAAAAUAGACUUAGCUUUAGUCACAUAAACGUGAGGGUCUCAAGUUUUAAUAUUUAGCUCGAUUAAUAGUUCUAAAUGCAUUAUGUUUAAGUUGAAAAUAAUCUACAACAAUAUUCAACAUUAUAACCCAAAGCUAAUACAACUAUCUUCCAUGAUGAAAUGAGACAUGACAGCACAGUAUGAGAAACAAAACAUUCAAAUGAGAAUUGUUUGUAUGUAUGUGUUUGGAGUUUUUUAGACACAGGAUAAUACGAAGUUCUUGUUGUUGUACUCCAUGUAUAGUCAACUCCCAAAAUUACCAAUAGCUACUUCCAAAAGUAGCUGCUAUCUUUUGUAUAUUUUCAGUGAAGUAGUUUACAUCUGUAACAAGGAUUCCAUUAUUUUCAAAGAUUUCUGUGGAAACUGUGGGCUUGUCUGUUAGGAAGACAGCAAUCCUGGCACUGAUAUGUUGAAUUUGCAGGUUUAACAAGCAUUUCAAAAUUCCAGCUUUUGUUGAUGAUGGAGAAUCACAGUUGUGAUAAUGAAGUAAGUCAAUGAUUUUUCUGUUCUUUUUAAUGGGGGAAACAGGAGUGCUCUGCUCUGCUAGCAUACCUUCAUGCCAGAAGAGAGCGCCAGAUCCCGUUAUAGAUAGUUGCUGUGAUUGUAACCAUUGUGUCAUCUCACCAGCCUCUUGAAGUCAUCUUAUAGUUAAAGACAAAGUAAGUUCAUUCCUGUUUAUGGUUACACCUGUGCUUCUCAAAGACAGGUCUAGGCCCCACCUGUAACCUUAACUUCAAAUGGUUCUGUACUGUAUGUUCCAGGAAACAACCAUGUCUUUGUUUCAAAACCCAACUGUCUCACAACCCUCUGACUACCCGAUUCCACCCACCUUAGAAUCACGUCUUUGUUCCCGGAGGUCCUUAGGACUAAAUUAUUGCUUGUUAUGCUUAUUUUCUCCUCGAGGAAGGCCACCUGUUUUGUUCACCAGACCCCCCCAUUCAGUAACCCCCUUACCCGAGCUCUAUAAUGUCCAACACUGACCUCUCGAACACGACUGUGGAUUGGGGGAGGCAAUGUAUACAAAUAAAAAAUUUGUUUAAUU
This 3151-nucleotide long non-coding RNA is filed under the name Mus musculus (house mouse). Its description in RNAcentral is "long non-coding RNA chr1:177987293-177990444". Lineage: Eukaryota; Metazoa; Chordata; Mammalia; Rodentia; Muridae. The record is from RNAcentral.